Molecule: ribosomal RNA, 253 nt
Filed under: uncultured bacterium
Lineage: Bacteria
Description: partial 16S ribosomal RNA
Rfam family: Bacterial small subunit ribosomal RNA
Source: RNAcentral
UACGUAGGGCGCAAGCGUUGUCCGGAAUUAUUGGGCGUAAAGGGCGCGUAGGCGGCGCGGUAAGUCACUUGUGAAAUCUCUGAGCUUAACUCAGAACGGCCAAGUGAUACUGCAGUGCUAGAGUGUGGAAGGGGCAAUCGGAAUUCUUGGUGUAGCGGUGAAAUGCGUAGAUAUCAAGAGGAACACCUGAGGUGAAGACGGGUUGCUGGGCCAACACUGACGCUGAGGCGCGAAAGCCAGGGGAGCAAACGGG